RNAcentral lists this ribosomal RNA (448 nucleotides) under uncultured bacterium. RNAcentral's name for it is "bacterial SSU rRNA". It matches the Rfam family "Bacterial small subunit ribosomal RNA", at positions 330 to 794 of the family's 1533-position model. The record is from RNAcentral.
CCCAGACUCCUACGGGAGGCAGCAGUGGGGGAUAUUGCACAAUGGGGGAAACCCUGAUGCAGCGACGCCGCGUGAGUGAAGAAGUAUUUCGGUAUGUAAAGCUCUAUCAGCAGGGAAGAAAGUGACGGUACCUGAAAAAGAAGCUCCGGCUAAAUACGUGCCAGCAGCCGCGGUAAUACGUAUGGAGCAAGCGUUAUCCGGAUUUACUGGGUGUAAAGGGAGAGUAGGUGGCAGAGCAAGUCCGAAGUGAAAACCCAAAGCUCAACUAUGGGAAUGCUUUAGAAACUGCUCAGCUAGAGUGCAGGAGAGGCAAGUGGAAUUCUUAGUGUAGCGGUGAAAUGCGUAGAUAUUAGGAGGAACACCAGUGGCGAAGGCGGCGUGCUGGACUGUAACUGACACUGAGGCUCGAAAGCGUGGGGAGCAAACAGGAUUAGAUACCCUUGUACAU